AUAUCCCAUGUUUCCUUUUUCCACGAUUUUUCAUUUUCCACCUUUCAGACAGGAGAAUAAUGAAUAAUAUUUUAAUGAACUAAUAACAACAUUCCCUGCAAAGCGAGACAAUAUAAAUUAUAAUUAAUAGCAAAAUUACGAAGAGGAAAAUCAAUACGCUGAGAAGCAGAGCAUGGCGCACGAUUGCAACUAUCUCUCGGCGUACAUUAGCAGGACUAAUGGAAACUGAUUUGCUGCAACUGCGUUCUCGGCGAUUCGCUCGUUUCUUCUCUGGUUUCCUUCAUAGUCUCUCUUUUCUUUUCUUCAUCAUCAGUGUUUCAAAGGUUGCCUGGGUUUAUGAUGGAUUGGCGAAAGCUUUUCUCGUGCUCUGCUGGAAAUCAACUUCGAUAUUUUCCCCCAAAUUUGCGUGAUGGAACGCCGACAGUUCACCCACCACCUGAAGUUUUCAAAGAAGGAAUUGCAGAAUGGAGACUCUCACUAGUUGGGCACUUCCUUGGAGCAGCACCAAAGUUUUCAGCGCUACAACAGAUUAUAGAUAAUUUGUGGAAAAAACCCUUACAGGGUGCUUCGGUACAAACCAGUUAUGCAGGUACACGGCUACAAUAUGGAGUUCUCUGCUCCAACUGUCCGGGUUGAACUUACAGUUCAACAACUGGUCCAGUCUGCUCGAAUGGGCAGCAAAUUCAUGGUAGGGUGCUGAGAUUCCAUGGGACUUCUCGCAAGAACACCUGCCGCUCCACAUAUCGUGCCUCCCGGCACCAUCACGCCACGCCAUGAGGACGUGUUCAUGAGGAGAGCCGAUCCUCCAUCGGCACCGGCGACGAGCUCUCAACCGGAUGUGCGAGAAGAAAUGCAAGGCGUACAAGGUCGCCUCGCCUUCAUUGAUUCCAACCUCACCAAGAUUCUCUCCUACUUGCACGCGGGGUCAUCUCGACGCAGCCGCGAUCACGACUAUAAUUAAUCAGGGAAUAUUCCUUUUUCCUCUCCUUUGCAUUUUAAUUUUGAUUUACGUUUUGAGACAAAACGAUUUAAGUGGGGGAGGAUAUUAGUUAGAUUUUCCUUGCUUGAAAUUGAGUUUUUGAUAUUGACAUGCUUGAAUAAUUUGUUGCCAAGUCUUUUAUUUCGUUGAGUAAUUUGGUUGUUUUCUGAUGAAUUGUCUAAUUUUACUUUGAAUUUGAUGUUGAAUGCAUGAUGGUUCGUUGGUCUAGCUAGUUAAUUUUUUUUUGAAAUUAUGAUUUUUCAUGGUUGUUGAUUAAUUGAUGCAUGUACUUUAUUCAUUGAACCAAUUUUGGUGAGGCUUGGGCUUAAUGAGCAUGAAAUUUUUAUUUUCGUUCUUGCUCUUUGUUUCUUUUAGUGUGCCGAGCAUUGUUGUUGUAUUCUAGAACUUGUAGUUUGAUUCUUUUUUAGGCUACUAAAUUUAAUGUUUUUUGUAUGAUAGAGGCAUUAGGAUUAAACAUUUUCUAUUCCCAAAAAUAAAUUGCCUACCUUUAGUUUAUUUUUCUCUUAGAUGGCCAAUUUUGAGCCUCUCUUGUCACCCGUUUUCAGGAAGAGGUAAGGUUAUUCCUUCGGGAAAAAAUACAGAGAAAAGAGAGGAGCAAUGUUCGAAAAACAAAACAAAAAAUACACUGUUUGAACAGUGCAAAAAAUACUGUGUUGAUUCAAACAGUGCUGAAAAAUCAGUGAAAAAAUCAGUUUGGUUCAAACAAUGCAGAAAAAUAAUUGGAAAAAAAUCAGUUUGGUUUGAACUGUGCGGAAAAAAAUACAUUGCAGCAUAAAAAAAACAGCAGGCUCGAAUCGAAAAAACAAGAAAAGUUCGAAAAAGGAGAGUUUGUUGUUUCUUUUCGCUUGCUUCCUUUAGAAUAAAUUUUGGAAUGAUAUUCUCUUUUUCCUGAAACUUAAACCUGAUUUUUGGCCUAUUUCCUUACCCAAACCUUAGCCAAGUUACAACCCGAAUAAAGACCUCUCGACUUCUGCAUUGAUUUCAUUUUUAAGUAGUGGAGAUUAGAUUAAACUACAAGCUUAUGGUUGUGCUUUAAAUUUGCUUUGGCUUGAGCAUUUCUUGUCCUUAAACACUUAGAGCGAAUCAACGAAUCCUUUGUGAGGCAAUCAAGUUGUGUAUCAUGAGAUUAAUAGCUAUUGAAAUGUCUUUUCUCGAUUGUUUCUUAGCUUAGUCACUUGCUUGAAAUGCUUCAUGAGUUUUAAUUCUUUGCUUAAUUGUGGUUUAUUGGAACAAUUGAAUUAUGAAAUGAGUUAGGGAGUGGCAACCUAUGUUCUUAGCAUGUUGGUUGAGAAGUGUGUGAGAACAAGCAUUAGAUAAGUGAGGGGAAAUUUGACUGAUGUUUAUUUUGUGCUUAAAUGCUAUUUGUUUGUCCAUGUUUACUACUGAAUUGGAUGUUUUUACAUGUUUUUUUUGCAUAGCGAUCACUGUUGGAAAAUGUGCUAAAAAGGGCUGAAAUCUGCACUUUUUGUUCUGGGAUCAAGAUUGCAACAGUGGGCAUGAAUUGCUGAUGUGACAGUGAGUUAGUAGGUUCUAAAAGGUCCAUUCAACAUCCAGUCAUCACCCAAUCAGCGAGCUUCUAGAAGAUUGACGAACGACUAUGCAUUUCAAGCACAUUCAAAUUCAAGAUUUAGGAUUUAUCUUUUAGAUUAAAUUCAAACUAUUUUUCAGAAUUAUCUUUUGUAAUUGUAUUUGAAUUGUCUUUAGCAUUUCCAGGGUUUUAGAAGGCUACCAAUACCUUUCAAGGUAAGCCUAUUUCAUAUCUCGAAUAA
Molecule: RNA transcript, 2769 nt
Organism: Hibiscus syriacus
Lineage: Eukaryota; Viridiplantae; Streptophyta; Magnoliopsida; Malvales; Malvaceae
Exons: 3
Source: RefSeq, a predicted model, not a curated record